RNAcentral lists this ribosomal RNA (1277 nucleotides) under Triticum aestivum (bread wheat). RNAcentral's name for it is "partial small subunit ribosomal RNA". Lineage: Eukaryota; Viridiplantae; Streptophyta; Magnoliopsida; Poales; Poaceae. The record is from RNAcentral.
CUGGUUGGCGGGGGUUAGAGGAACAGGUUUGCCGCCGGAGCCGGCGGAGGGCCGGUAGGCGGCAGCAGCGACCUGUCUCCCAGGGCCGCGCGGCAUGAAGAGGAGACUUCUUCUUAAAUAGAGCGACGGCGCGUUCCUUUGACGGACUGCGAACGGAGCUGCUAGUCGCCGUGCGGCUGCGGCACGCGGCAGCGCGGCAAGCUGACGACGAUGGCUUCGACGCGCGGGCGCGUCCUUACGGAGUGACCCGGGGCUGCCAACACGGCUCCCGGCGUUGCGCCCGACCCGCGGCGGAUGCGCGCGAUACGUGCGCCACGGCGGUGCCAGCGAAUACGCCCCGACGUACUAGAAGAAACCGUACCUCUACCUCCCCGACCACGCAGCGGCGGGAAACACAUCUCUCGCGGCUGUUCUCCGUAGAGGAGGGGAGAUAUUAGAACCCGCACCUGAGUGCUGGCGACGACUACGGCUUCCAUGGUAGCCGGUACAAGUACAGCACCUACCGGCAACAGCUGCGACUUCCACGGUAUGCGAAAGAGGGCACGGCUACGUACGUACAGAAGAGAAAGACAACGUACAGCGGUACACGUCCCGGCGCACUCGGCGGCGGCCAGGAGUUCUUCCCCCGCUCCAGGUGCGGCAACGCAUCGGGUACUCGUGACGCCCAUGCCGCGUCUGCGGCAGCGGCGGCACUGACUACAGCGGUAGGCGUGGCCCCGAACUACGAAGUGAGGCGGCGUGGCAUAUCGCGGCGAACUCGCAUCGCGGCCGUGUCGGCCCCUAGGCGCUCCGUAGCGACAAGAGAGACCGGAUUAGCGAGAGGCAAUCCGUUUCACGACUAUUGCACUACACUUUGUUCCUUCUGUUUACUUAGAGAUAGAGAAAGUAGCUACUAGAGACAUGUAAUAUAUAGGGACUUUCCUGCGCAAGCCCUCCCUCGCUCCUCUCUGCGCUGUCAAUCUUUUCCGAUUGGCGGACAGCCAAAUGUUCCACCCCUAAUAGGUAUUAAUUAAUAUAGAUUAAUUAAGAAUUGUCACACUUGACACACUAUACCAUUCAUAACACUCCUCUUUACGGUAAAUGAUAGGAAGUCGACAAAGUUUUCAGCUUCAAACGAUAAAGUUGAAAGUUUUCGUCUGUUAAAACUAGGAAGUAUGUAGUUUUGAUAGAUCGAAACUAAAUGUACGUAGUGAUUUUUAUGAGGGAGACAAGGCUUUAUAAACAGAAAGAUCGGUAGAGACAUCUGUACAAAAUCUCACAUCUAAGUGAGUAAAACG